This 548-nucleotide long non-coding RNA is filed under the name Equus caballus (horse). RNAcentral's name for it is "lncRNA (ENSECAG00000055886.1)". The record is from RNAcentral. Lineage: Eukaryota; Metazoa; Chordata; Mammalia; Perissodactyla; Equidae.
UGUGAAAGGGGUAGGACUUUCUUUCCCUUCUUUAUUCCCCUCUUUUAUAGGCCAACAGAGCAAAUCUUUCUGUGUAGAAAACCCUCCAUGCCUUGUGGACACAAUAUGUUCUUGUUUAUUGCCUAAAAGUAACAAAAAGGCUUUAUGCAGAUUAAAAAGUCCAAGAUCUAGAAAAACUAACAAUUUCGCACCAAAUUCUGCUAUUGUUCAAGGUUCUAGCUAUAGUUAUUCUACUAGGUUUAAAAUGUGCAUUGUAAGUCUUUGCUGUGAUGAUACUUGGGAGUUUUUUCUUAAAGGUUGAGCAAUUUGAGUAGAUAAAAGUGUAUCAAGGUGUUUGGGGACAGAGAAUGAAUAUUAGCAAUGACAAAUUUGAUUGCAAGAAAUUGAACCACGAUUCAACCUAACUUAGUGAAAAACCACUGGAGUAUCUCCUGGACUCCGAGGACAGAGAGGCAGCUGGAUUUCCAGAACAGAACUACGCUCUGCAGUUCUGAGUAAGCUCCUUGAGGAUGGGCCGUAACUGUUGUGUUCAGCAGUGAACAUCUAGC